GUUUGUAUAGUUUAAAUUAAAACAUUAUAUUUUCACUGUAAAAAUAUCUAUAUAGAUUACAAAUU
Molecule: transfer RNA, 65 nt
Filed under: Eublaberus distanti
Lineage: Eukaryota; Metazoa; Arthropoda; Insecta; Blattodea; Blaberidae
Description: tRNA-Glu
Source: RNAcentral